Molecule: unclassified non-coding RNA, 332 nt
Filed under: Hevea brasiliensis (rubber tree)
Lineage: Eukaryota; Viridiplantae; Streptophyta; Magnoliopsida; Malpighiales; Euphorbiaceae
Source: RNAcentral
AUACAAGAAAAUUUCCACCAAUUCAUUUGCAGGAACCCGAACUUUCCCAGAUAUAAAACUUCCCAGCCCCAUUCUCACUGCAACCAAAAUCUCUAACUGAUCCUUUUGACAUUUCAAGAGAGCCUCCUUAGAAAGAUCAGACCUUCUCUCAAGCCGGUUUUGAAGACCUACUAAUUCUUCUUUCUUUUCUGGCAUCGCAACAAGAUUCUUUAAAUACUCCUUAGUUGAUGCUAAUGUUUCUUCCGCCAGCUCCUGAAUUAUCUGAGCCAUAACAGGAAUAGACUCCCAUACAAUUUCAUGGAGAAUUUUCUCCGGUCUAGAGAGCUUUCUUG